Molecule: ribosomal RNA, 465 nt
Filed under: uncultured Klebsiella sp.
Lineage: Bacteria; Pseudomonadati; Pseudomonadota; Gammaproteobacteria; Enterobacterales; Enterobacteriaceae
Description: bacterial SSU rRNA
Rfam family: Bacterial small subunit ribosomal RNA
Source: RNAcentral
CCUACGGGUGGCUGCAGUGGGGAACAUUGCACAAUGGGCGCAAGCCUGAUGCAGCCAUGCCGCGUGUGUGAAGAAGGCCUUCGGGUUGUAAAGCACUUUCAGCGGGGAGGAAGGCGUUAAGGUUAAUAACCUUGGCGAUUGACGUUACCCGCAGAAGAAGCACCGGCUAACUCCGUGCCAGCAGCCGCGGUAAUACGGAGGGUGCAAGCGUUAAUCGGAAUUACUGGGCGUAAAGCGCACGCAGGCGGUCUGGCAAGUCGGAUGUGAAAUCCCCGGGCUCAACCUGGGAACUGCAUUCGAAACUGGCAGGCUAGAGUCUUGUAGAGGGGGGUAGAAUUCCAGGUGUAGCGGUGAAAUGCGUAGAGAUCUGGAGGAAUACCGGUGGCGAAGGCGGCCCCCUGGACAAAGACUGACGCUCAGGUGCGAAAGCGUGGGGAGCAAACAGGAUUAGAUACCCGAGUAGUC